Molecule: ribosomal RNA, 251 nt
Filed under: uncultured Glomeromycotina
Lineage: Eukaryota; Fungi; Glomeromycota
Description: partial small subunit ribosomal RNA
Source: RNAcentral
AGCAGCCGCGGUAAUUCCAGCUCCAAUAGCGUAUAUAAAGUUGUUGCAGUUAAAAGCUCUAGUUGAAUUUUACGGGCAUUGGGCCGGGCCAUGGCUGGUCCCGGUUGCCCUUUCGGCAGGGGGUAAGUUGAAACCUUGGGUUCCGUCAGGUUGCAAUUUUCCGGGUUCCCAACCCCUUUCCUUGGGGAGAAUCCGGCAAGAUCCGAUGCCUUUAAAUUUUGGGUCCAUUUUUGCCAUGGGGUCGGGGGUAA